CUCGGCACGGCCCGUACCAUCCGG
RNAcentral lists this microRNA (24 nucleotides) under Ananas comosus (pineapple). RNAcentral describes it as "microRNA s1356_c045b". The record is from RNAcentral. Lineage: Eukaryota; Viridiplantae; Streptophyta; Magnoliopsida; Poales; Bromeliaceae.